GAAAUUGAUGGGUCCAAAAGCAUAUGCAACUUUGAUCUGAUAGUAUAAACUCGCUCUCUAAUGUGGAUGUGAUAAUUCGUCUUCCUCCCAACACUGAGGAACCUUGCUGCUGCUUUCUGUCGCUGUUGCUGGUGGUAAAGGGCCCUUGACUGACACAUUUGAGAGGCUGGUCAAUCCAUGCACAGAGCUGAUAUGAGUUAAGGCAAAGGAAGCUUCAACCUUUAUUUCACUUAGCAGGAUUCCCUGGUUUCUUGGCCACCCAGAGACACCUUCUUGGGACUCAUUUCUCAUCCAACCGAAGGGGCCUGAUGUGCUCCUGGACUCCUUUAAGGAGAGAGAAACUUUGGGUGCAGCAUCACGAAUUGUAAGCAGGAAGCCAGGCUUCUGAGAGUCAGAUGGAACUGCAGCUGGGAGCAGGGGGGUUGUCAUUUGUCUGCCCUGAGCCACCAGAAAGGGUUCAGUGAGUCUUGAACACAGUGAUUAACUUCUCUUUAAUCUACGCAUCACUGCACAGCACAGCCAAUUGCUUGGCUUCCCCAAUAAGAGUCAUGAGUCACUCAAUGUCUUAAUGUGGACUGAGCACGUUUUAUUCCAAGCAGGUGCGACUGUUCCUGUAUGUGCCUUUGAGAUACCUAGGAAAUGAAUAAUGCUUGUUGUCCCCCUCCAACACCAACUGAACAUUGAAUCAAUGGUUUACUAUUUUAAUAACAAGUGAAUAUUGCUCUAAGACUCCUUUUUUUUUUUUUUUUUUUGCUUGUUCAGUGCCAGAGGGAUAGGUUCCCAUUUCUUUUCCUGGCUGUUGGGUCACGGCUGAGGGUCCCUGGGAUGUGGGGCAUCUCCGUAAGUAACAGGAAGUAUAUUAACUCGUGGGUUAAUUAAGAAAAUCAUUGACGAAACCACAUGAGUGUGUGCUGUGCAAGCGACCCUUGGACUGCCAUAGAGGCCAGGAAUAGGGAGGGAAAAUUGGACCCAGCUGUGGCCUGCUUAGCUCUUUUCUUCCAAUGUGGGUCACUCCUUGAACUAGGACAGUCUGCAGGUGUUCCCAUUGUGCUCAGACAAACACUCAACUCUUAACCCUUGAAAGAAAGAAGUAGGAACAAAGGCCUGCUCGGGCAUGCUGGAGACGCAGAAAUUGUGGAGGGAAAAGCAGCAGGCCCUUUUCACAUGGUGGCUGCCUUAUCCUCUCUUACUCUAUUGUUCAAUCUGUUCAACUUAGUUAAGAACCCAUAGAUCUAGAUUCCACCCCCUCCUUCCCUACCACUCUCUGGCUGGGUGACUUUUGGCAAAUUUUCUAUCUUUUCUGAGCCUCAGUUUCUCAUCCUCACAGAACCAUUGUGAACACAAAAUGAGGGGCAGAAUGGGGACAUGUGAUAGGCAGAAUAAUGGCCCCAAAGACAUCCUUGCUCCAAUCCCCAGAACCUGGGAAAGUUAGCUUAUGUGACAAAUGGAGCUCUGCAAAUAUGAUGAAGUUAAGGAUUUUGAGAUGGGAAAAUGAUCCUAGAUUAUCCAGGUGGGCCCAAUAUACUCAAGGGGUCUUUAUAAGAGGGAGGCACACACUCAGAGAGGCAGAAGGCAAUGAGACUACCGAAGCAGAGAUGAGAGUGAUGUGGUCACAAGCUGGGGGAUGCAAGCAGGCCCUAGAGGAACAGACUCUUCCCUAGAGUCUUGGAAGCAGCCAGCCCUGCUGACCUUGACUUUAGCCAAGUGAAACUGAUUUUGGACUUCUGGCCUCCAGAACUGUAAGAGAAUAAAUUGGUAUUAUUUUAAGCCAUCAAGUUUGUGAUUUGUUACAGCAGCUGCAGGAAACUAAUGCAGGCUGAUUUGUAAAGUCCUCCUGUGAAAAUGGAAGAAUCUCCUGCAAUGUAGCCAGAGCCAGAUAUGAGCCCAAGCCCAGUGAGGAGAGACUCCAUGGACAGAGGUGAAGGAACUGUUCUCCAAAGGACUCUGACAGCUUGUGGGUACAAGCUGUGCUGCUUUGGGGCCCAGAUGACAGGUGAGAUGUGGA
RNAcentral lists this long non-coding RNA (2005 nucleotides) under Homo sapiens (human). RNAcentral describes it as "HSALNT0169270". Lineage: Eukaryota; Metazoa; Chordata; Mammalia; Primates; Hominidae. The record is from RNAcentral.